RNAcentral lists this long non-coding RNA (408 nucleotides) under Bos taurus (domestic cattle). Its description in RNAcentral is "long non-coding RNA NONBTAT009222". Lineage: Eukaryota; Metazoa; Chordata; Mammalia; Artiodactyla; Bovidae. The record is from RNAcentral.
ACAAUUGUGUUUGUCUUCUGACUCAUAUCUAGAGCUCUCUCCAUUAUACUGCAUUAUUUUAAACCUUUUCUAAGAAAGACCCUUAAUUAAGAGUCAGCUUUAUCUGUCAAUAGCUCACUAGGUACCUGGGUGUGAAAUUUUUAAAUAUAAUUGAAAGGCAGACUAUAAAAGUGUGUGCUCUGACUUGAUGGUCAGUUAUCCACUAACAGACCUUUCUUACUGAAGACUCUAGGUUUGAAAAUAUUCCAACAAACACAAAGGCAGAAAGAAUGAAUAAAAAGACUAAUUUUUGUGAAGCCCAUUUUCUUAGAUUAUAAAGCCAUAUUUCAAAUCUAAGAGAAUAUGGAACUUCUGUUUCCUAUUAGCAUUCUAAUUUUUUUCCUGAAUUCAUCAGAUUUAAGUGAACAC